RNAcentral lists this transfer RNA (73 nucleotides) under archaeon. RNAcentral describes it as "tRNA-Arg". It matches the Rfam family "tRNA". Rfam says of the family: Transfer RNA (tRNA) molecules are approximately 80 nucleotides in length. Their secondary structure includes four short double-helical elements and three loops (D, anti-codon, and T loops). Further hydrogen bonds mediate the characteristic L-shaped molecular structure. tRNAs have two regions of fundamental functional importance: the anti-codon, which is responsible for specific mRNA codon recognition, and the 3' end, to which the tRNAs corresponding amino acid is attached (by aminoacyl-tRNA synthetases). tRNAs cope with the degeneracy of the genetic code in two manners: having more than one tRNA (with a specific anti-codon) for a particular amino acid; and 'wobble' base-pairing, i.e. permitting non-standard base-pairing at the 3rd anti-codon position. RNAcentral also lists the same sequence under 1 other name. The record is from RNAcentral.
GGGCUCGUAGUCUAGUGGAUAGGGCGCAAGGCUUCGGACCUUGAUAUCGCGGGUUCGAAUCCCGCCGAGCCCA